This 501-nucleotide ribosomal RNA is filed under the name uncultured bacterium. Its description in RNAcentral is "partial 16S ribosomal RNA". It matches the Rfam family "Bacterial small subunit ribosomal RNA", at positions 29 to 523 of the family's 1533-position model. The record is from RNAcentral.
AUUGAACGCUGGCGGCAUGCCUUACACAUGCAAGUCGAACGGCAGCACGGGUGCUUGCACCUGGUGGCGAGUGGCGAACGGGUGAGUAAUACAUCGGAACGUACCUUAUCGUGGGGGAUAACGCAGCGAAAGCUGUGCUAAUACCGCAUACGCCCUGAGGGGGAAAGCGGGGGAUCGCAAGACCUCGCGCGAUUAGAGCGGCCGAUGCCUGAUUAGCCUGUUGGUGGGGUAAAAGCCCAACAAGGCGACGAUCAGUAGCUGGUCUGAGAGGACGAUCAGCCACACUGGGACUGAGACACGGCCCAGACUCCUACGGGAGGCAGCAGUGGGGAAUUUUGGACAAUGGGGGCAACCCUGAUCCAGCAAUGCCGCGUGAGUGAAGAAGGCCUUCGGGUUGUAAAGCUCAUUUGUCAGGGAAGAAACACCGGCUCUAACACAGUCCGGGAAUGACGGUACCUGAAGAAUAAGCACCGGCUAACUACGUGCCAGCCGCCGCAGUAA